This 380-nucleotide ribosomal RNA is filed under the name uncultured bacterium. Its description in RNAcentral is "bacterial SSU rRNA". It matches the Rfam family "Bacterial small subunit ribosomal RNA", at positions 28 to 406 of the family's 1533-position model. The record is from RNAcentral.
GACGAACGCUGGCGGCGUGCUUAACACAUGCAAGUGGAGCGACGAACCAGGCUUCGGCCUGGGGCAGAGCCGCGAACGGGUGAGUAACACGUGGGUAACCUGCCUCGAUGACCGGGACAACCCGAGGAACCGGGCUAAUACCGGAUGUGCUCCUUCACAUCAGUGAAGACAGGAAAGGAAGCUUCGGCCUCCGCAUCGAGAUGGGCCCGCGGCCAUUAGCUUGUUGGUGAGGAACGGCUCACCAAGGCUGCGAUGGGUAGCUGGUCUGAGAGGACGAUCAGCCACACUGGGACUGAGACACGGCCCAGACUCCUACGGGAGGCAGCAGUGGGGAAUCUUGCGCAAUGCGCGAAAGCGUGACGCAGCAACGCCGCGUGGGG